Molecule: ribosomal RNA, 381 nt
Filed under: uncultured eukaryote
Lineage: Eukaryota
Description: partial 18S ribosomal RNA
Rfam family: Eukaryotic small subunit ribosomal RNA
Source: RNAcentral
CAAUAGCGUAUAUUAAAGCUGUUGCGGUUAAAAAGCUCGUAGUUGGAUUUCUGUCAAGGACAACUGGUCCGCCCUCCGGGUGAGCACAUAGUUUGGUCUUGGCAUCUUGCUGGAAACUGUUGCUGCGCUUGGUUGUGUGGUGCAGCUUUCAGCACUUUCACUUUGAGGAAAUUGGAGUGUUUCAAGCAGGCACAUGCCUUUGGACACAGUAGCAUGGAAUAAUUAGAUUGGGCUUUUGCUCCAACUUGUUGGUUCCUGGAGCUGAGGUGAGAAUCAAUGGGGAUUGUUGGGGGCAUCCGAAUUUAGCUGUCAGAGGUGAAAUUCUUGGAUCUGCUAAAGACGGACAACUGCGAAAGCGUUUGCCCAGGAUGUUUUCAUUGA